CCUUAUACAUGCAAGUCGAGCGCNUCNUUCGGGAUGAGCGGCGGACGGGUGAGUAACGCGUGGGAAUGUGCCCUUCUCUACGGAAUAGCCACUGGAAACGGUGAGUAAUACCGUAUACGCCCUCAGGGGGAAAGAUUUAUCGGAGAAGGAUCAGCCCGCGUUAGAUUAGGUAGUUGGUGGGGUAACGGCCUACCAAGCCUACGAUCUAUAGCUGGUUUUAGAGGAUGAUCAGCCACACUGGGACUGAGACACGGCCCAGACUCCUACGGGAGGCAGCAGUAGGGAAUCUUGGACAAUGGGGGCAACCCUGAUCCAGCCAUGCCGCGUGAGUGAAGAAGGCCCUAGGGUCGUAAAGCUCUUUCGCCUGUGAUGAUAAUGACAGUAGCAGGUAAAGAAACCCCGGCUAACUCCGUGCCAGCAGCCGCGGUAAUACGGAGGGGGUUAGCGUUGUUCGGAAUUACUGGGCGUAAAGCGCGCGUAGGCGGAUUGGAAAGUUGGGGGUGAAAUCCCGGGGCUCAACCCCGGAACUGCCUUCAAAACUCCCAGUCUAGAGUUCGAGAGAGGUGAGUGGAAUUCCGAGUGUAGAGGUGAAAUUCGUAGAUAUUCGGAAGAACACCAGUGGCGAAGGCGGCUCACUGGCUCGAUACUGACGCUGAGGUGCGAAAGUGUGGGGAGCAAACAGGAUUAGAUACCCUGGUAGUCCACACCGUAAACGAUGAAUGCCAGUCGUCGGAUAGUAUACUAUUCGGUGACACACCUAACGGAUUAAGCAUUCCGCCUGGG
This 783-nucleotide ribosomal RNA is filed under the name uncultured Rhodobacterales bacterium. RNAcentral's name for it is "SSU rRNA". It matches the Rfam family "Bacterial small subunit ribosomal RNA", at positions 47 to 877 of the family's 1533-position model. Lineage: Bacteria; Pseudomonadati; Pseudomonadota; Alphaproteobacteria; Rhodobacterales. The record is from RNAcentral.